AUUAGAUAAAAAGCCAAUGCCCUUCGGGGCUUUCUGGUGAUUCAUAAUAACUAAACGAAUCGCAUGGCCUUUUGUGCCGGCGAUGGUUCAUUCAAAUUUCUGCCCUAUCAACUUUCGAUUGUAGGAUAGAGGCCUACAAUGGUUUCAACGGGUAACGGAGAAUUAGGGUUCGAUUCCGGAGAGGGAGCCUGAGAAACGGCCACCACAUCCAAGGAAGGCAGCAGGCGCGCAAAUUACCCAAUCCCGACACGGGGAGGAAGUGACAAUAAAUACUGAUACAGGGCUCUUUUGGGUCUUGUAAUUGGAAUGAGUACAAUUUAAAUCCCUUAACGAGGAACAAUUGGAGGGCAAGUCUGGUGCCAGCAGCCGCGGUAAUUCCAGCUCCAAUAGCGUAUAUUAAAGUUGUUGCAGUUAAAAAGCUCGUAGUUGAACCUUGGGUCUGGCUGGUCGGUCCGCCUCACCGCGUGUACUGGUCCGGCCGGACCUUUCCUCUUGGGGAUCCACAUGCCCUUUACUGGG
Molecule: ribosomal RNA, 519 nt
Filed under: uncultured fungus
Lineage: Eukaryota; Fungi
Description: SSU rRNA
Rfam family: Eukaryotic small subunit ribosomal RNA
Source: RNAcentral